RNAcentral lists this transfer RNA (72 nucleotides) under Candidatus Melainabacteria bacterium. RNAcentral describes it as "tRNA-Val". It matches the Rfam family "tRNA". From Rfam's summary of the family: Transfer RNA (tRNA) molecules are approximately 80 nucleotides in length. Their secondary structure includes four short double-helical elements and three loops (D, anti-codon, and T loops). Further hydrogen bonds mediate the characteristic L-shaped molecular structure. tRNAs have two regions of fundamental functional importance: the anti-codon, which is responsible for specific mRNA codon recognition, and the 3' end, to which the tRNAs corresponding amino acid is attached (by aminoacyl-tRNA synthetases). tRNAs cope with the degeneracy of the genetic code in two manners: having more than one tRNA (with a specific anti-codon) for a particular amino acid; and 'wobble' base-pairing, i.e. permitting non-standard base-pairing at the 3rd anti-codon position. The record is from RNAcentral. Lineage: Bacteria; Bacillati; Candidatus Melainabacteria. RNAcentral also lists the same sequence under 2 other names.
GGGCGGUUAGCUCAAUGGUGGAGCACUUCGUUUACACCGAAGGGGUUGGGAGUUCGAGUCUCUCACCGCCCA